UUUCCAGAGGAUGUCUUUUUCGGAGUUAAGGCAGCGGAGACGUCCCCUGAAAGAGCGGAGUCGACUCUCUCAGAGAAUUCCAGAAGACAUGUUUUUCGGAGAUAUAACGGCGGAGUCGUCCCCAAGGCAGCGGAGUCAUCCCCAUGCAAAAAGUGCAAACAAGCCGAGACGUCCCCGUAAAGCGCCGAGGCGACCCUCUCAGAAAAACAGAAAAACAAGGAUUCAAACCGUUCAUCAUCGGAGUCGUCCCCGUAAAGUGCCGAGUCGACCCCAAACAAAGUGAAAAGUAAACUUAUACAGCCGAGACGUCUCGCGUUGAAGCGGAGACGUCUCCGGAGCGCCUGGGACGCGACUGACAACUUUUNN
This 366-nucleotide long non-coding RNA is filed under the name Phoenix dactylifera (date palm). RNAcentral's name for it is "long non-coding RNA (PDAC_LNC011771)". The record is from RNAcentral. Lineage: Eukaryota; Viridiplantae; Streptophyta; Magnoliopsida; Arecales; Arecaceae.